GGGGAUGUUAUGCUAUCACAGCGUUUGAUCACCGGCAUCACGGGAACACAGGUAUCAGAGAGAGACUCGUAUCUCUCACAGCUGUUCAGAUUCUGUCGUGGGGCUUGUUUAGAUAUUGGUGUAAAUGGGAUGAGGAAGAUUUAACUUUGAAGAUAUGAGAUUAAUUAUUUUUUCUUCCCCCUUCUGAUCUCUUUCAAAAGCUGUGCACUGUGAGUCUGAGCAUUUUUUUUUUUUUUGGCUUUUUUUUGCUUUUUUUUAAUGAAAUAAAUGGUAGAGGCAAAUAAAUUUGCAUGACUCAACAGAAAAAAUAUUUUCCAGAGCUCUGUGUGUUAAUAGGCUUCACAGUACAAUUACUUGGCCUGUACAUAAUGGAAGUGCAAUCAAUGUAUGGAUCCUGCCCCCUACUGUCAAUGAUGGAAAUGGCAUCUAUAAUCAAUUAGUGGUGACUCAAUGUUAGAGGGCUGCAGGCUAACAGCGAUUAACAAAAACUUUCCUUUUUGGUGGGGGAGAUUUGUUGUCCAUUGCCGCCAAUUAUCUCACAUGUUACAACACACUGGGGUUUGCUUUCGAUAUUUUGUUGCUGGUUUAUUUUCAGCAUGUCUGCUUCAUUGUUUCAAGGAGCACAAAGCACAGAUCAUUUUCUUCAGUUGUAGUAUUUUUAUUAUCAGCUCCUCAUUGUUAUUUCCUCUUUCUCUCAUAGAAACCCCCCCACCCUGGAACCAGUGCAGGCCUCAUGUUAUAUUCAGGGAACACAGCAACCUCUUCUGGCCAAAAGUGAACGCAGCAGAGAGUCUGUGCUGAAGCCAGAAUAUAACAAGUCCCGGCAGUGGUAGGCGCUGUUCCCGACCCAUGGAGGGCUGCAUCAGUACCAUGGCAGGAUUGUGAUGGGAGUGUCCUUUGAUGGAUGUUGGCCAGAUGAGCUCUGGCACUCUCCCAACCUCAGCCACCAUGAACACAGCAAGGAAACGUUUCAAAGUUGGAAUCCUGAUACUUCUCAGUGGGAAAAUAUCUGAAAAGAACUGACUGUCAGUCAAUGUAGGUAUGGAGGAGAUCAAAACUCCAGACAUCCAGAGGCCCCCAGAACACAAGAGACCAAGGAAGACCCACAGAGGGGCAGCGGCGCCACUGUCCCAGUAAGAGCUAAGGAGAGUCCCAGAUGAGAGCUCAUUCAGCAGCCGCGGAGCAGAAGCCAGGGGGAGUUGCAGUGACGCGCCUGUGAGCUCCGCCGGCAGCCAGCUGUGCCUGAGUGACCGAGCCCCAGGCCGAGAGGCCGGGGGCACCCCACCUCCAUGAGGAUUCGUUCUAAAGAAAGCAGAUAUAUUUACUGCAAAACUUUAAACCUGUGGGUGCUAAAAGUUGUUAUUAAGUUCAACAGUCGAAGUGAAUGGGCUUAUCUGCAUUCUUUCCUGUGGUCACACGUUCUUGGUGUCAACUGAAAAAAAAGAUCAAGGAUGUAAAAACUCACAGGUUUUCCAAACUAUCAGAACAUUGGAGAUGUCAUCAGAUCAUCCAGAGACAGACAGAUGCCCUGGUCAUGCCACACAUGACAAGAAGAGCUGCUGCUGCUACAUUGCAAGCCCCAAUCUGAGCAGCAAUGACCCUCCUGGGAGUGAUGGAAAACUCACCUGCUGAUGUGACGGUCCAGCUGGAACAUCCACUCGACAAAGGUGUUACUUUCCUGUUGAAACACAGACAGGGAGGAAGCAACUGUUUGCUCCUCCUGUCGUACGCCAGCAUGCCCUGAGCAUAGCAUGAGGCAAACUGUGUGUUAUAACUGCAUGUAUGGUGUGUUUACCUUUAGCUGUGUUUAGUUUUUUCCAUUCCCUGUACAACCAUGGUUGGUGAUCUCUGCCAGGGCUGCCAUUUGUCUCUGAUUCUUUUUAUAACUUUUAGGACAAUAAUUUCUAGGUGUAGCCAAAGGGUGGAGGCUGGUUUAAGGAUAUGAUCUCUGUUUUUCUCAGAUGAUGUGGUUUUGUUGGUUUUACACUGGGGCAUUUUCCAGCCAAAUGUGAAGUAUAUGGGAUGAGAAUUAGCAUCUCCAAGUCUGAAGCUAUGGUUCUCUGUUGGCAACGAGUGGAGCACUGAUUCAGGGUUUGAACUGCUGCCCCAAAUGGAGUAGUUUAAGUAAGAGUAGUUUAAAUAAGUAUUACUGAUGAUGACACUGCGCUGGUUGGUUGUGGUGAAGAGAGAGCUGAGCACGAAUGUGAAUCUGGUGAUUUAACAGUUGAUCUGUGUUCUUGCCCGCCCCUGUGGUCACAGGUUCUGGGUAUCAACUGAAAAGAAAGAUCAAGGAUGCAAGCAGCAGAAAUGAUUUUUCUCUCAAGGGUGUUGGAAAUAGAGGCAUUUGGCCAUUUAGGAGUCACUCAGAGUAGAGCCACUACUUCUCCUCAUCGAAAGGUGUUUUGGGCAUGCAAUGGAGGUCCCAAGUACACGCUGGAGAGAUUAUAUGCCCAAGCUGGCCAGUUGCAUAUUUAUUUCAGUUAUUGUAUAUUUGACUGAUAUAAUCCACGAAUCCAAGACAAAUAGUGUUUAAUUGAAAUUAUUUUUAAAAAUUGUGAUACUUCAAUAGACAAAAGCUAAAUAAGCUGAUAAAUAACAAUGUAGUUUGUAUUUGUAAAUCUGAAAGUAAUAUUACAUAAACUGUGCAAAAAUACUGGCAGAUAAUAAAAAAGCUACUCUUUUUUCUUCUUUAGAUUACAUUAAUUACAUAAUUAAUAAGACUUUAAGAAGAAAUAAGGUUUGCUAUUAUUAUUUUGGUGUUAUAUUUAAUUUCAUACAGUAAAUUGUUCUUGGAUACCUCCAUCGGUCGUCCACGUAUGUUAACUAUGUCAGUAGGAUGAGUGUUAACAAAUUAAAGGUGGGUCUGUGGCUGAGUAGGAACAACCCACACACACCAUACCCUGCUACAUCUUGCAACUUUCUUUUCUUAACUCUUAUUUUGCAUUUUGGCAGCAUAUACAUUUGACUUGCAAAACAGACCUAAUUACAGGGCCUGCAGUAUGCAAGCCACACAUCAAACAUUAAGUUACAGUAGAAGCCUGUGAUCCCAGUCACAUACUCUCUCCCUCUUUUUUUCUUCUGCCCUCCCUUGCCUCUGCACACCAGAAACACUGAUUGUAACAGGGACAUUAAAGGGGAAUUACAGCGAAACAAUUUACACUUAAUGUAGCAGUCGUAUGAACGGGGAAGAAAGAUGGACAAAGAUAUAGCCGUAUUAAUAAUACAUGUUUUAAUUAAGCAGCUGGGAAUGCAAGGAGCAGGAUCAAGGGAACAGACAGACAAUGAAAGAAGAACUCGAAAGGAGGGAAGCGGUGAGAGAAAGACGGACGAAGAAAAAGAACUGAAAAUGAGAGAGCGAAUGACAGAGAAAGAGUAAAACAAAGCGGAGCAUAAAAAGUAGAGGAGGGAGGAGGAUUGGAAUAUGGUGCUGCGCGUUUCCUGCAAACCGUGAUUCAUGGGCAGUAAAUAUGCAAAGCCUGAUGGCCAUAAGGCAAUCAGAGGAGCGCCACUCAUCUACAUGUUGCACAGUGGGCUAUAAUCCAUCUGAGGGGCAAGGAAUAAUGAUACCAGGAAGCAGGAAUAAGAGCAGGGUCUGUUUAUUACCUCAGACAGAUCCAUAAUGCAUACAGAUGUGAGGGAGGCACACAGCUGCCUCUGGCCAGAGAACUCUAUUGAAAAGUAGAGACAGUAAUAUUGUGUUUAGUGUAAUGAAAGACAAUCUGAUUGAAGCACCUAUUAAGGCAAAUAAGACUGCUGUCGUAUGAGGUUUAAGUGCUGGAGCUGUAACGAUCACUGACAGGGUGGAGAAGAGCUGGGGUGGAUACCAAAGGAGCAGGAGGCUCCGAUCCAACACCUCAAAGGCAACAGCAAGGUCACCAAUAAAUAACAUGGGUAAUGCAAUAUGAAUGUGCACUCGUGCAAAGUGAAAUGUAAGGUAAUAAUAUGGUCCAAAUAUGCACAUUUAAGACCUUGCUCGCUGUUAAGAGCAUACCAGCGCAGAUAAAAUGUAUGACCGGCAAUAAAGCAGUAAUUUGAAUUCUUUGGUGUCAUUGUGUUUACUUUUCUUUAUUUGCAAAGACACCCCCACAUUCACACUCACUCUUGAACACAAAGGCCUUCUUCCCCGUCUUCUCACAGAGGACAUUAACACCAGGAUCCUAGUGGUGCUAGAGUAAAGUAAUAAAUUGUGUUGAACAUUGAUAAACUAAUGCAAUUACCUGCAGGGCAAGCCAGUCAGCUAAUUUAAAGAUACCAGGUUUGUUCAUGGGGUGGGAGGCACCGAAUAGGCCCCAAGGGUGAAAGAUGGCGCCUUUAUUACAUCUGAGAGGUCAGCUUGGUAGCAGUGUAUUAGGAUUGAUCUUUUGAUCCCAGCCUGGAACCCACCCCCUCCAAAAAAUGUACCAACCCCAUAUGGCUGAGGAAAAACACAGCUUAUCUGGCGCAAAGGGUUAACUCUGCCAGCCAGGCAGCCUAAUUGAGCGCCACACAUCUCAGCUACACAGCAGAAACAGGAACCUGG
This is a long non-coding RNA of Astatotilapia calliptera (eastern happy), 4519 nucleotides long. The record is from Ensembl. Lineage: Eukaryota; Metazoa; Chordata; Actinopteri; Cichliformes; Cichlidae.